GCGUUUGUGGCCGAGUGGUUAAGGCGUUUGACUCGAAAUCAAAUGGGCUCUGCCCGCGCAGGUUCGAAUCCUGCCAAACGCG
Molecule: non-coding RNA, 82 nt
Organism: Bolinopsis microptera
Lineage: Eukaryota; Metazoa; Ctenophora; Tentaculata; Lobata; Bolinopsidae
Source: the annotation of a RefSeq genome assembly